Molecule: ribosomal RNA, 492 nt
Filed under: uncultured bacterium
Lineage: Bacteria
Description: partial 16S ribosomal RNA
Rfam family: Bacterial small subunit ribosomal RNA
Source: RNAcentral
AGUGAACGCUGGCGGUAGGCCUAACACAUGCAAGUCGAACGGCAGCACAGUAAGAGCUUGCGCUUACGGGUGGCGAGUGGCGGACGGGUGAGGAAUACAUCGGAAUCUACUUUUUCGUGGGGGAUAACGUAGGGAAACAUACGAUAAUACCUCAUACGACCUACGGGUGAAAGCAGGGGAUCUCCGGACCUUGCGCGAUUGAAUGAGCCGAUGUCGGAUUAGCUAGUUGGCGGGGUAAAGGCGCACCAAGGCGACGAUCCGUAGCUGGUCUGAGAGGAUGAUCAGCCACACUGGAACUGAGACACGGUCCAGACUCCUACGGGAGGCAGCAGUGGGGAAUAUUGGACAAUGGGCGCAAGCCUGAUCCAGCCAUACCGCGUGGGUGAAGAAGGCCUUCGGGUUGUAAAGCCCUUUUGUUGGGAAAGAAAAGCAGCAGGUUAAUACCCCGCUGUUCUGACGGUACCCAAAGAAUAAGCACCGGCUAACUUCGUG